CAUCCUAUCAGCUGCUCUCUCUGCUCACAUCUGCUGUGUGUUUCCUCAGCGGCUCGUCCUGCGUCUCUGUGUCUGGCUCCUAAAGCAGCCAUCAGCUCUUCUUCCUCCUCUCUGAGGAAGAGCUCCAGCUCCACGCUGCCCUCCUCACCCUCCUCCAGGAACUACAGCCCAGCGCCCGGCGCAAAGAGGACUCCUGCUGCAAACACUGAAGACACUCAGAGCACUAAAGCAAAGACGAGCUGCUGCAGGAAAGCACUGGAGAUCAAACCAAAGGAAACAAGUGCAGCAAAAACAGAUCUCUCUGUCCGGAAGGACUGGGUCAGCUGAAUCCGCAGUCAAAGCAUUCGUCCAGAAGCCCUCGCUCCGGGACGCCCCGAAACACAAGAGUCCCAUCAAAUCCCCCAGUCAAUACUUCCAGAUCUGUUACUGAAGAGCCGGCUCUCACACAUUAGUGAUCACUUUCUGGAGAACUGAAGAAGUGCAGAUGCACACCAGAACACGGGCUCGCUGCAGGAAGCCUUGCUAUGGACGCAGUGUAUUUUAGUUAAAAACGUCUUAAUGCUGGGUUUGUUCUUAGUUGUAUUUGGUGCCGA
Molecule: long non-coding RNA, 593 nt
Filed under: Sinocyclocheilus anshuiensis
Lineage: Eukaryota; Metazoa; Chordata; Actinopteri; Cypriniformes; Cyprinidae
Description: lncRNA (ENSSANG00000016248.1)
Source: RNAcentral